RNAcentral lists this ribosomal RNA (378 nucleotides) under uncultured eukaryote. RNAcentral's name for it is "partial 18S ribosomal RNA". It matches the Rfam family "Eukaryotic small subunit ribosomal RNA", at positions 592 to 976 of the family's 1831-position model. The record is from RNAcentral.
CAAUAGCGUAUAUUAAAGUUGUUGCAGUUAAAAAGCUCGUAGUUGGAUUUCGGGACGGGCCAGUUGGUCCGCCGCAAGGUGUGUUACUGACUGGCCUGUUCUUCUUCGCAAAGACUGCGUGUGCUCUUCGUUGAGUGUGCGUAGGAUUUACGACGUUUACUUUGAAAAAAUUAGAGUGUUCAAAGCAGGCUAUCGCUUGAAUACAUGAGCAUGGAAUAAUGGAAUAGGACUUUGGUCCUAUUUUGUUGGUUUCUAGGACCGAAGUAAUGAUUAAGAGGGACAAUUGGGGGCAUCCGUAUUUCGUUGUCAGAGGUGAAAUUCUUGGAUUUACGAAAGACGAACAACUGCGAAAGCACUUGCCAAGAGUGUUUUCAUUAA